This 1030-nucleotide long non-coding RNA is filed under the name Nicotiana benthamiana. Its description in RNAcentral is "long non-coding RNA (NBEN_LNC031098)". Lineage: Eukaryota; Viridiplantae; Streptophyta; Magnoliopsida; Solanales; Solanaceae. The record is from RNAcentral.
CCAUUCCUUCACUGAGCCGAGGGUCGAUUGGAAACAGCCUCUCUGCCCUUUCGGGUAGGGGUAAGGCCCGUCUACAUAUUACCCUCCCCAGACCCACCUUGUGGGACUAUACUGGGUAGUUGUUGUUGCUGUUGGUGUUGCCUCAAUAAUUAACUUCCCUCUUCUUAACGUGAUUUAAUAAGACCUAAAAAGUAUAUGCAAGUCAUGCUAGUUAUGUGCUUUUGUUUAGGGAGUGUAUAUACGCCUUUAUCUGUUUAUAUGUUUCCCCAAACAUUGCGGUAUGUGUUUAAUAUGUCACCUUAGAUUUUUAUCCUUUGAAACCAAUUAGCCAAAUAUCCCUUUCCUAUAGGAGUAGUAUUCCUGAGUGCAUCCGGGACCAAUAGGAAUGGGAAGGGUAAUAGCAUGCAAUAGUAAUCGAGACCAAUCCGCGAUUCAAUACCUUAACGGGGUGAUAAAGGUAGAUAUGGAUAUGACCGGUGCGCUAAUGCCACGUGUAAUCCUUCUUUUGAGGAGUGAUUACCGGGUAUUGCAUUGAUGUGAUCCAUAUAUUUUUUAUAAACCUAGGACCCUCUUCCUUUGUUUCCCUUUUCUUUUAAGCAUUAUAACUCCUUAUUUAAAAUCAGCUCUUUUAAUUGCUCCAUGCAAACUUCAUUUACUUUCAAACCAUUGUGUAUUGAAAUACCCUCUCUUUUUUUUCGUUUUAAACCCUAUAAUGGGAUUUUUUUUAUUUUUUUAAAAAAUUUAACAGUUAGCUUUCAUUGAUGUCAAAAAAGUUUACAAUGAAGAGUUUAUAGUAGUAGUAUGGACUAACCACUACUUUCCGGUUCAACACUAUAAAAAUACAUGAAUUUGCAACCUAAAGCUAAGGGUAAUGGUUAAGUUGUUGCUGUCCAGUUUGCCAACGCUUACAGUUUCUGUCGCGAAUAUGAAUAAGCAACGCACCUCGCGACAGAACUAGUUCUCCUCUAAAGCUUUCCCUUCAAAUCUAAUAUAGUUCCUAUUUCUCCAAAUAAGUGCAACAGUGGUCACA